This 2177-nucleotide long non-coding RNA is filed under the name Citrus x clementina. RNAcentral describes it as "Citrus clementina (C. clementina) long non-coding RNA (CCLE_LNC003999)". The record is from RNAcentral. Lineage: Eukaryota; Viridiplantae; Streptophyta; Magnoliopsida; Sapindales; Rutaceae.
AGGAACUAGUUGUUUUUUCCAAAUAAAAUAAAAUACAAGAGAGGGGUCGAACAUACUAGGACAUGACAUCGGCGGAGUAAAGUUCUGGUAUAUCGCUGAUUCGAUAGGUAUAACAGUAGCAAGAUAAAUGAUUGCUUCUCUCAAUGUUAGAAUAUGUCUAGAGAUUGAUGGGUUUUUCGCUCUUAUUAGGAUGGCACACUUAUCUUUGCUUAUAAAUGCGAAAUUUGACAGAGUAUAUAGUAAUUGUUUUGAUAUAAUUAUGUCCAUUUUGUAUGAUUUGCUAGUAUUUUGGGUACUGAUCGGGACAAGAAAAGAAAGCUCUAUAAAACAUGAAAAAAGUUUAGAGGAAAGAUGGUGGAAGCUUAACUAAUGGCUCAAAAAAAAUGAAAUUUUGCCUUAUGAGAGUUUAGGUGACAGUCAGCACGAAUUUAUAGUGAAUAUUUUCGGCUCAUGUCAUAAAUAAGUUACUAUAACUAGAUAAUCUUCUCAGAUUUUGUUUCCUUAAAUUUUAAUUUUAGGAAAAAUUAAGAGUGAACUGGGUGUUGGUCCGUCGUAUGACAUGAUAGAACACCAUAAGAUAUAAUUAAAAAUAAAUAAUAACUAGUAACUUGUAUCAUAAGAUAACGUUUUCUUUUUAAAAGUGGCAAAUUUCAUUAAAAGGUCAAAAGAGUAAAUAAUACAUAACUGAGUACUCUACCAACCUCACCUAUAUCGCACUGAGCGAUCGACGGGACACUGGUGCAAACAAUUGGCUUUGGGUGAUGGCAAAGAUAAAAAAAAGUUUUGAUUUGGCUACUGUUUUAGUUGUCGACGGUGGGAUCAACAGAGGAGCCGUUGAUUGUAUUGGGUCCAUCUCAUUUAGGUGGCCCAAACUUAAAAUUUAAUAAGUUUAGACAAUUAAAGGAAACUUAAAGGGAGCAAAUGACAUUUGCCAUGAAAUUUGGCUAUAGAAACCAGCAUAAGUGGAGGCGGCAGUAACCUUUUGAGAGAAGAAAAAGACGGGAGAGAAAGGAAGGGACUGUGGAGUUGAGAUUAUUUAAGGGUAAGAUUUUUAAUAUUUAAUUAGGUGAUCGGAAGGCGAAAUUAACUUCGUUUUCUCUUAAAUUUUGAGGUUAAGUUUCUGGCAUCACCUUUUACAAUUUUAUUAAUCUUGAUUUUUAUUUUAUAUUCUUUUUUGCUAUUAUUUGAGACACUCACUUGUUAAAAAGAGUUAUUAGGCUGUUACUGUAAAUCAAGAAUAUUGAGAUUCUUGAUGUUGGUAGUCUCUAGUAUUAUUUAGAGAAAAAUUAAUACUAUAAUCUCAUUAAUAUAGUAAAAAAUUAUAUUGAACUACGAGCCCGUGAUUUUUCCUGCUUUGGAUUUUUCACGUAAAAAUCUGUGUCUCUUAUAGUUGGUUUUUGCUUUGGAUUUUGUUGGUUAAUUUUUCUGCUUAUUUAUUUAUGGUACACAUAUUAUUUUAAUCACACAAAGAGAUAAAGAGUUUUGUUUCUGCAUAAUUUGCAGCUGCUUAUCGUAGUCUCUUUCCCAAUAGAUUGCGAGAUCUAGAUACUGAAGCAACUCUAAAUACACGAUGGUGUAUCAAAGACGCGGCCGCGAAUCUCUUUGUUUUAGGAAGAAAGGCAUGGCACACAUGCGGUUGAUUUAGUGUUGAGUUUUUUAGCUGCGCAUCAGGAUUAUGGUGUUUAUGGCUUGGAUGUGAGUUUCAUAAGGAGAUUUGAGUGACUAGAAUAAAACAGUAACAUAACACACGACAUAGAACAUUUAUAUAAUAUGUCACAUCUUUUUCAACUUUAAAAUAUUGAGUUAAAUUAAUUUUAAAAAUUACUCGACAGUGAUACUUCAUUUUGUGAUAUUUGCAAACGUCAUAACGUUAAGAACAAUAGGGUAAUUUUUAAAAACCUCCCCUGAGGUUUGGGUUUGUUGUAAAUAGAUGACGAAAAUUUAUUUAUUUGUAAAAAAUCUCCUACCGUCAGUUAACUUUAACAUUGACCGUUAGUUGACUGUGCAAAGACAAUAUUACCCUUAACAACAGUUUGUAGACGGAAAUAACUAAAAAAAAAAAUUAAAAUUGUUGGCUAUUUUACCCUCUUUAAAUUAUUGAUAUUUUCUUAAAGUUCCUACAAGAAAGAUAAAAUUAAAAAUUUGAAAAAUUCUCUUUAAAUUAUUGAUAUUUUCUU